Non-coding RNA from Eimeria tenella, 2745 nucleotides. NCBI's taxonomy places the organism in Eukaryota, Apicomplexa, Conoidasida, Eucoccidiorida, Eimeriidae. The record is from Rfam.
UAUUGAGCCGGAAAUGCCGUCUCCAAAUAAAUUCGCCCACAAGACCCGCUCAACGUUUCCUCUCAGGCGGUCAAGUGCUCGAUGGCAAUAACCUGGUUCUGCUUAUCUGCAAUGUAACAUCCCCCAGAAGCAGGUUAUGGAGGUGUCCUCUCUCCUGAACACCUCAGCGUUUCUUAAAGCUCGGCCCUCAGGUGUUCUGAUUGCUAGUUCAAAGGGCAUCUGCUGGGUGCUGUCUCUGCGAGCAUCUUUGGUGAGGGCUUUUCCGGUACUUUUACGGCUUUAAAUAUCAACAUGACCUGUGAGGCAGCUCUGGAUAUUCUAAGACAUCACACACCAAGCCUAGUUCAGCGACUACAUGAAUCAUCUCUACUACACCACACAAAAGUAGCACAAAGGUUUGAAUAUUACAGACACUUAGUUUAGGACAAUCGGAAGCUCUCAAAGACGCAUCUCUCUGCAACGCCUGGCCCAUCCAUCCGCACACAGUAGUCCUUGCCUGGGAUUAAAGAAUCUAACUAUAUGCCUGUUGAAGAAGGAGCUGACGAGUCUUAAUUAUUUUAAGCAUUUGGUUAAUUUUAUUUAAUUGAAGCCAGAGUUAACGCGAGUUAUUAUAAUAUAAUAACAAUUGCUUAUAAUUAAGAACCCGAACCCGGAUGAAUUAAUCUUGUCCAGAAUGAAAUAUAGAUAAGUCUAUAUAGAGGUUCGAACUGGUUGAUAUUGCAAAAUCAUCAGAAGAGAUGAGAUUAGCGGUGAAAUGCUUAUCGAAUUCGGAGCUAGCUGGUUCUCCUCGAAAUGCGUUGAGGCGCAGCUGUUACUUAAUAUAUAAUUAAGGUGGUAAAGCACUAUAUUUAAUAUUUAUUAUAUUUAUAUUAUAAAAAUUAUAUAUAAACUAAUAAUACCUAUUAUAUUAAAAAGUAAUAAGUGAGACUAUUGGGGAAAAUCUCAAUUGUCUAAAAGGAAACAACCUACAUCAUAAGUUAAGGUUUUAAAAAGUAUUAAAAAUAAAAAGAAAUUUAAUUUCAUUUAUAUUUAGGAGGUUAGCUUAGAAGCAGCUAUCCUUUAAAGAGUGCGUAAUAGCUCGCUAAAUUAGAAAUUAUGUACUGAAAAUGGUAAAAAAAUACUUUACCGAAACUAUGAGAUUUAUAUUUAAAUCGAUAGAGGAGCGUUCUAUAUUUAAGAAGUAAAAAUGUAAAUUUUUAUGGAAAAAAUAGAAGUGAAAAUGUCAGCUUAAGUAGCAUAAAUAUUAGUAAAAUCUAAUACUCCGAAAGCUUAAAAGUUUUCUACGAAAGGAUAUACCACGUAGAUAAAGUCGGGGCCUAAAAUUAGAUUAAAUAUGUAAUUGAUGGGUAAUAAGGUUAAACUUCCUUUACUGUAAAUAUAUAUAACAAAUAGUGACCUAUAAUUUUUAUUAUAUUUUUAUAAUAUAGUUUUUAAUAUAUAAAUAAAAAUAUAUAGCUGGAAAAAUGUAUAUGUUAAAAUAUAUUAUCACCCGUACUAAAACUGACACAAGUAAGCAAGUAUAAAUAUACUAAGGAGUACGAAAUAACUUUUUCUAAGGAACUCGGCAAAAUAAUCCUGUAACUUCGGGAAAAAGGAUGUCCAAAGGACUGCAAUAAAGAGAUCCAAGCGACUGUUUAUCAAAAACACAAGUCUCCGCUAAGUGUAAUUACAAUGUAAGGGGGCUGACACCUGCCCAGUGCUGGUAAGUUAAAAAAAAUAUUGAUAAUUAUAAUAUUUUUAUAAGCUCCAGUAAACGGCGGCUGUAACUAUAACGGUCCAAAGGUAGCGAAAUUCCUUGUCGGGUAAGUUCCGACCUGCACGAAAGGUGUAACGACUUGGAUGCUGUCUUGGAAAAAGAUUCGGCGAAAUAGAAAUGUCUGUGAAGAUACGGACUAUUUACACCUGGACAGAAAGACCCUAUGAAGCUUUACUAUAUUUUGAAAUUAAAAAUAAAAUAUAUUUGUGUAGAAUAAGUGGGAAAUAAUUAUUUUAUUUAUCUUGAAAUACCACUCUUAUUUAUUUUAUUUUUUUAUUAUAAUAUUGUUAACCAAUUAUAAAAAAAUUUUAAAAAGGUAGUUUGACUGGGGCGGUAGCCUCCUAAAAGGCAACGGAGGUGUACAAAGGUCUUUUUUUAAUUUAAAUAUUUACUUUAAAAUUAAAUCUAUAAAGGGAUAAAAAGGCUUGAUUGUAAGAGUUACUACUCGAGCAAGGACGAAAGUCGGUCUUAAUGAUCCGAUAGUUCUUUGUGGAAAGGCUGUCGCUUAACGAAUAAAAGUUACUCUAGGGAUAACAGGCUGAUCUCCCCCGAAAGUUCCUAUUGACGGGGAGGGUUGGCACCUCGAUGUCGGCUCGUCGCAUCCUGAGGCUGAAGUAGGUCUCAAGGGUUGGUCUGUUCGCCCAUUAAAGCGGCACGUGAGCUGGGUUCAGAACGUCGUGAGACAGUUCGGUCCAUAUCCGGUGUAUACAUAAGAACAUUGAAGAGUUUUUCUUUUAGUACGAGAGGACCAAAGAGAUUAAACCUAUGGUGUAUUAGUUAUUUUACUAAAAAUAAUCGCUAAGUAGCCAAGUUUAAAUAAAUAUUAAUCACUGACAACAUAUAAGUGAGAAAAAUACUUUAAGAUAAAUGUUCUUAUCUAACUAAAUAAAUAGAAUAAGAAAACAAAAAGAUAAUUUGAUAAAAAGAAAAAGUGUAUACAAUUAGUAAUAAUUUUAGCAUUUUUUGACUAAAAGUUCGAAAAAAAUAUA